This 1101-nucleotide ribosomal RNA is filed under the name uncultured bacterium. RNAcentral's name for it is "bacterial SSU rRNA". It matches the Rfam family "Bacterial small subunit ribosomal RNA", at positions 8 to 1116 of the family's 1533-position model. The record is from RNAcentral.
AGAGUUUGAUCCUGGCUCAGGAUGAACGUUGGCGGUGUGCCUAAUACAUGCAAGUCGAACGGUGACGAUUUUGUAGCAAUACGAAUGAAAUCAUAGUGGCGAACGGGUGAGUAACGCGUUGGUGAUCUGCCUCGAAGUGUGGAAUAACUUCCCGAAAGGGUAGCUAAUACCGCAUAGUCUCUCAAGGUUUAGAAAAUUGAGAGUAAAGGAUUUAUUCGCUUCGAGAGGAGCCUGCGUCCCAUCAGCUAGUUGGUAGGGUAAUAGCCUACCAAGGCAAUGACGGGUAGGGGACCUGAGAGGGUGGCCCCCCACAAUGGAACUGAAACACGGUCCAUACACCUACGGGUGGCAGCAGUAGGGAAUAUUAGAAAUGGGCGAAAGCCUGAUCUAGCAACACCGCGUGUGCGAUGAAGGCCUUCGGGUUGUAAAGCACUUUUUGGAGGGAAUAGGAAGGAAGGUACCUCCAGAAUAAGUCUCGGCUAACUACGUGCCAGCAGCCGCGGUAACACGUAGGAGGCAAACGUUAUCCGGAUUCACUGGGCGUAAAGCGCGUGUAGGUGGUUCUGUAAGUAGGGCGUGAAAGCUCCCGGCUCAACUGGGAGAGGCCGUACUAAACUGCAGAGCUAGAGGAUGGUAGAGGGAGGUGGAAUUCCAGGUGUAGUGGUGAAAUGCGCAGAUAUCUGGAGGAACACCAGUGGCGAAGGCGGCCUCCUGGACCAUUCCUGACACUCAGACGCGAAAGCUAGGGUAGCAAACGGAAUUAGAGACUCCGGUAGUCCUAGCCCUAAACGAUGCAGACUAGGCGUCGGCGGUUUAAUCACCGUCGGUGUCCAAGCUAACGCGAUAAGUCUGCCGCCUGAGGACUACGGCCGCAAGGCUAAAACUCAAAGGAAUUGACGGGUCCCCGCACAAGCAGCGGAGCGUGUGGUUUAAUUCGAUGCUCCGCGAAGAACCUUACCUGGGUUUGACAUAACAGUGGUAGAGAAGUGAAAACGGAUCGACCCUUCGGGGAGCUGUUACAGGUGUUGCAUGCCUGUCGUCAGCUCGUGUCGUGAGAUGUUGGGUUAAGUCCCGCAACGAGCGCAACCCCCGCAUCCAGUU